Molecule: ribosomal RNA, 1262 nt
Filed under: metagenome
Description: bacterial SSU rRNA
Rfam family: Bacterial small subunit ribosomal RNA
Source: RNAcentral
GUCGAGGGGGUUUAUUGUAGCAAUACAGUAGAUCACCGGCGCACGGGUGAGUAACACGUGAGAAUCUUCCUUGAGAUGGGGGAUAGUCAGUAGAAAUACUGGGUAAUACCGUAUAUGCCGAGAGGUGAAAGGGGCUUGUGUCCCGUCUUGAGAUGAUCUUGCGGCCAAUUAGCUAGUUGGUAGGGUAAAUGCCUACCAAGGCGACGAUUGGUAGCCGGCCUGAGAGGGUGUACGGCCACAUUGGAACUGAGACACGGUCCAGACUCCUACGGGAGGCAGCAGCUAAGAAUAUUCCGCAAUGGGAGAUAUCCUGACGGAGCGACGCCGCGUGAACGAAGAAGGCAGAAAUGUUGUAAAGUUCUUUUAUGCGGGAAGAAUAAAUAUAGUAGUGGAAAGACUAUACGAUGACGGUACCGUAUGAAUAAGUCACGGCUAACUACGUGCCAGCAGCCGCGGUAAUACGUAGGUGACAAGCGUUGUUCGGAAUUAUUGGGCGUAAAGGGCAUGUAGGCGGUUAGAUAAGUGUGAAUUGAAAUACCGAAGCUUAACUUCGUGUAUGGUUUGCAAACUGUCUGACUAGAGUAUGGAAGGGGAGACUGGAAUUCCGCGUGUAGGGGUGAAAUCUGUAGAUAUGCGGAAGAAUACUUGUGGCGAAGGCGAGUCUCUGGUCUGUAACUGACGCUGAAAUGCGAAAGUGUGGGGAGCAAACGGGAUUAGAUACCCUGGUAGUCCACACUGUAAACGUUGUACACUAGGUGUUAGGGGUAUCGACCCCCCUGGCGCCGAAGCUAACGCGAUAAGUGUACCGCCUGGGGAGUAUGCUCGCAAGGGUGAAACUCAAAGGAAUUGACGGGGGCCCGCACAAGCGGUGGAGCAUGUGGUUUAAUUCGAUGUACGCGAAAAACCUUACCUGGGCUUGACAUAGGCAUGACCGAUACAGAGAUGUGUCUUUUCCUUCGGGAACAUGUUUACAGGUGCUGCAUGGCUGUCGUCAGCUCGUGUUGUGAGAUGUUGGGUUAAGUCCCGCAACGAGCGCAACCCUUACUGUUAGUUGCCAUCAGGUGAAGCUGGGCACUCUAACGGAACUGCCGAUGACAAAUCGGAGGAAGGUGGGGAUGACGUCAAGUCCUCAUGGCCCUUAUGUCCAGGGCUACACACGUGCUACAAUGGGCUGUACAAAGGGUAGCGAUAUCGCGAGAUGGAGCCAAUCCCAAAAAGCAGUCCGUAGUUCAGAUUGGAGUCUGCAACUCGACUCCAUGGAG